This 338-nucleotide ribosomal RNA is filed under the name Epiperipatus sp. ony093. Its description in RNAcentral is "partial small subunit ribosomal RNA". Lineage: Eukaryota; Metazoa; Onychophora; Udeonychophora; Euonychophora; Peripatidae. The record is from RNAcentral.
CCCUACUAUUCUAUUUUAAUAAAAUAUUUCAAGGGGAAAAACAUAAUAAAUUUGACGGUAUUAAUUUUUACAAAGGAAUUUGUUUCAUUAAUCGAUAAUACACGAUAAACCUUACUUAAUUCAUAUUUGUAUACCACCGUAUUAGUAAUUAUCAAUAAAAUUACCAAAAAAAAUAUUUUUAAAUAUCAGGUCAAGGUGCAAUUUAUUUAAGAAGAAAUGAAUUACAUUUAUAAUUUAUAGAUAAAAAAAAAUGAAAAGCUAUUUUAAAUAGAAUUUGUUAGUAAAAUUAAAUCAUCAUGUUUUUUUGAAAAAAAAUAUUAAUAUGUACAUAUCGCCCG